Molecule: ribosomal RNA, 702 nt
Filed under: Caloplaca substerilis
Lineage: Eukaryota; Fungi; Ascomycota; Lecanoromycetes; Teloschistales; Teloschistaceae
Description: SSU rRNA
Rfam family: Bacterial small subunit ribosomal RNA
Source: RNAcentral
UGUAUAGCAAUUGCUAUUUGCACUAAAAGUUUUUAGUGUAAAAUCGACUUUGUCGAAUAAAAUUCUGGAUAGAAUUAUGAUAAUGACAUUACCUAUCCAUAAGUCUUGACCAAAUUACGUGCCAGCAGUCGCGGUAAUACGUAGAAGACAAGUGUUAUUCAUCUUUAAUAGGUUUAAAGGGUACUUAGACGGUAAAUAAAGCCUCCAAAAGGGACUAGUUUGCUAGAGUUUUAUGUGAAGGAGUUUUAAAGUACUACUGGUGUAGAGAUGAAAUUCAGUUAUACCUUACAUGGCACAGGUUAAGGCGAAAGCAUCUUCUUAUGUAAAAACUGACGUUGAGGGACGAAGGCUUUGUGUCUCGAACAGGAUUAGAUACCCUAGUAGUCUAAGCAGAAAAUGAUGAAUGUCAUAGAUUAGAUUUAAUUUGAUCUAUAAAUGAAAGUGUAAGCAUUCCACCUCAAGAGUAAUUUGGCAACAUUGGAACUGAAAUCAUUAGGCCGUUUCUGAGAACAGUAGUGAAGUAUGUUGUUUAAUUUGAUAAUCCGCAAAAAACCUUACCACAAUUUGAAUAGAUAUAUUUUAUCAUACAAGCGUUGCACGGCUGUCUUCAGUUAAUGUCGUGAGACUUUGGUUAGUUCCAUUAAUUUAACGGUAAACCCUUACUUCAUUAUUAUAUCAAUGUAGCUCACCGCUAUAUUGGAU